GUAAUACCGUAUAUUCCCUAAGGGGGAAAGAUUUAUCGCUAUCAGAUGAGCCUGCGUUAGAUUAGCUUGUUGGUAGGGUAAUAGCCUACCAAGGCAAUGAUCUAUAGUUGGUCUGAGAGGACGAUCAGCCACACUGGAACUGAGAUACGGUCCAGACUCCUACGGGAGGCAGCAGUGGGGAAUAUUGGACAAUGGGCGAAAGCCUGAUCCAGCCAUGCCGCAUGAGUGAAGAAGGCCUUAGGGUUGUAAAACUCUUUUAGUGGGGAAGAUAAUGACGGUACCCACAGAAGAAGUCCCGGCAAACUCCGUGCCAGCAGCCGCGGUAAUACGGAGGGGGCGAGCGUUGUUCGGAAUUAUUGGGCGUAAAGGGCACGUAGGCGGCCUAGUAAGUUAAAAGUGAAAUACCAGGGCUUAACCUUGGAACUGCUUUUAAUACUGCUAGGCUAGAGUUCGAA
This 455-nucleotide ribosomal RNA is filed under the name uncultured Anaplasmataceae bacterium. RNAcentral's name for it is "bacterial SSU rRNA". It matches the Rfam family "Bacterial small subunit ribosomal RNA", at positions 163 to 652 of the family's 1533-position model. Lineage: Bacteria; Pseudomonadati; Pseudomonadota; Alphaproteobacteria; Rickettsiales; Anaplasmataceae. The record is from RNAcentral.